RNAcentral lists this long non-coding RNA (501 nucleotides) under Elaeis guineensis (African oil palm). RNAcentral's name for it is "long non-coding RNA (EGUI_LNC076116)". Lineage: Eukaryota; Viridiplantae; Streptophyta; Magnoliopsida; Arecales; Arecaceae. The record is from RNAcentral.
GCCAUGUGCCAAUCAAUAGGGAGGAGUUGGAUCUAUGCUCUCAGAUUCAGCAAUUAGUUAUUCAGAUAAUUAAUUAGCAAAUUGCAGAAGCUAUCCACUUGUAUGUACUAGUUAAUUAAUUGCCCUCCAAAUUUAAAUUAAUAGUUAUGAUAAGCUGGUUACCUUUUGAUUUCUUCAUCUUAUCUAAAUAAAAUAAUUUUUAAGUUCCACUAAUUGGCAGAUUUUUUUUUUAAAAAAUAGCAAAUAGUGACUUCAGCAAAUAAUAUGGUUAUCAACUUAUAAUUAAUUUUGGCUUAAUGGUUAUAGCAAUUAUUACUUUAUUCUCAGAUAUUUUCAAGACAAGUAUAUUUUACUAAAACUUUGAUAUAACCCUAAAUUGCAUUGCUAAAUUAUUUCAUAAUUCUUGUAUAUAUGGAUAGUAUAUGUACAUGUAACAUGCAUAUUAAUUAGUUAACUUUGGUAAGGAAAUUCAAAGACCUAGAAUAAAAAUUAGAGAGAUAU